AGAACGAACGCUGGCGGCACGCCUAACACAUGCAAGUCGAGCGCCCAGCAAUGGGAGCGGCGGACGGGUGAGGAACACGUGGGAAUAUGCCUUUCGGUUCGGCACAACUGCGGGAAACUGCAGCUAAUUCCGGAUACGCCCUUACGGGGAAAGAUUUAUCGCCGAAAGAUUAGCCCGCGUCUGAUUAGCUAGUUGGUGAGGUAAUGGCUCACCAAGGCUUCGAUCAGUAGCUGGUUUGAGAGAACGACCAGCCACACUGGGACUGAGACACGGCCCAGACUCCUACGGGAGGCAGCAGUGGGAAUCUUGGACAAUGGAGGAAACUCUGAUCCAGCGAUGCCGCGUGAGUGAUGAAGGCCUUCGGGUUGUAAAACUCUUUUACCAGGGAAGAUAAUGACUGUACCUGGAGAAUAAGCUCCGGCUAACUUCGUGCCAGCAGCCGC
RNAcentral lists this ribosomal RNA (443 nucleotides) under uncultured bacterium. Its description in RNAcentral is "SSU rRNA". It matches the Rfam family "Bacterial small subunit ribosomal RNA", at positions 26 to 518 of the family's 1533-position model. The record is from RNAcentral.